RNAcentral lists this transfer RNA (71 nucleotides) under Bos taurus (domestic cattle). It matches the Rfam family "tRNA". Rfam says of the family: Transfer RNA (tRNA) molecules are approximately 80 nucleotides in length. Their secondary structure includes four short double-helical elements and three loops (D, anti-codon, and T loops). RNAcentral also lists the same sequence under 1 other name. Lineage: Eukaryota; Metazoa; Chordata; Mammalia; Artiodactyla; Bovidae. The record is from Rfam by way of RNAcentral.
UCCCUAGUAGCUCAGUUGUAAAGAACCUGCCUGCAAUGCAGGGGACCCGGAUUCGAUCCCUGGGUUGGGAA